UUGAAACCAAGAAACAAAUUAGGAGGGCUGAUGGCAGAAAUUUCCCCUCCGAGACCAAAAUGCGCGGGCCUGGCCACGCUCGGGUUGGGUCAUCGGGUAUGGCCAUUAAACGGUGCCGUUUUGGAGUCACUGUGACAAACUCCAAACGGUACAAUUUAAGAACUAUUAUAAAGCUUAAAAAAAACCUAAAUGCUACACCGCCGC
Molecule: long non-coding RNA, 204 nt
Filed under: Gossypium raimondii (Peruvian cotton)
Lineage: Eukaryota; Viridiplantae; Streptophyta; Magnoliopsida; Malvales; Malvaceae
Description: long non-coding RNA (GRAI_LNC002938)
Source: RNAcentral